This 241-nucleotide long non-coding RNA is filed under the name Homo sapiens (human). RNAcentral describes it as "non-protein coding lnc-JHY-4:1". Lineage: Eukaryota; Metazoa; Chordata; Mammalia; Primates; Hominidae. The record is from RNAcentral.
UUCUGCCAUCAGCGGAGGUGAUCAUCUGAGACUCCACCAUCAACAUUUACAUGCGUACCCGUGAAGUGGGCUUCAAAAAGGGUGCCCCUUGGGCACUCAGAGAGAUCCGGAAAUUGGCCAUGGAGAUGCGGACUCCAGAUGUACACAUUGAUAUCAGGCUUAACAAAACUGUCUGGGCCAAAGGAAUAAGGAAUGUCCCAUACUAUAUCCAUAUCCAUGUGCACAGAAAACAUGAGGAUGA